CCAACAAAGGAGUAUAGUGCUGCACAGAAAAACUUUGCCCUAACAUUACACCUCUACUCAAGCAAGGCGUACAGGUACACCAGAGAGACGAAGGGAAUCAACCUUCCUGAGCCGCGUACGUUACGCAGGUGGCUUGAGAAGUAUGAUGCCCAACCUGGUUUGAAUGGGCUUAUGAUGAACUCCCUGGCAGCAAAGGCUAAAGAAAAUCCCGCAGACUACACGCUGUGCAGCAUGAUGUUGGAUGGCAUGAGCAUCAAGCAAAAGAUGGAAUAUGAUGCUAAGACAAACAAGACUGUUGGAUUUGUUGAUUUGGGAGCUGGUUCAGUGGAAGAUGUGGAGGCUAAAGAAGCACUAGUAGUCAUGCUCGUUGGCUUGAAAGCUAAUUGGAAGUGUGCAAUUGCAUACUACUUCACCAAAGGACUGUCCUCUGAACAACAAACAGAACUUGUAAAGCACUGUCUGGAUGCAUGCCAUGAAGCUAA
This is a long non-coding RNA of Eriocheir sinensis (Chinese mitten crab), 482 nucleotides long. RefSeq lists it as uncharacterized. The record is from RefSeq and is a predicted model, not a curated record. NCBI's taxonomy places the organism in Eukaryota, Metazoa, Arthropoda, Malacostraca, Decapoda, Varunidae. The transcript has 3 exons.